Molecule: long non-coding RNA, 311 nt
Filed under: Medicago truncatula (barrel medic)
Lineage: Eukaryota; Viridiplantae; Streptophyta; Magnoliopsida; Fabales; Fabaceae
Description: lncRNA gene12441
Source: RNAcentral
AUCAGCACACUGGUUUCCUUCUCUUAGACAAUGAUGAACGGUGAAAUUCCUUGAGGACAAAAGAUCUCUGAUAUCUUAAAGUAACAGAGCAUAGGCAUGGUAAGUGGAGGCGUGCACAAUAAGGAGCUGAAUGGAGAUCAUGGAGUCCGAGUAACAAAUCAUUUUGUUAAUACCUAAAUCAAUGGCCAGCAGAAUACCACGGUGUAUUGUUGAUGGUUCGAAGCAUGAGGCAGGCAAUGACUGGCUGCAAAAUGGGAAUUGCCCGAUUGCAAAGUCAUACCAGGCUGUUAGUAAAGUGCUUCCGCUUGUAG